GAUGAAGAACGUAGUGAAAUGCGAUAAGUAGUGUGAAUUGCAGAAUUCAGUGAAUCAUCGAAUCUUUGAACGCACAUUGCGCCCGCUAGUAUUCUGGCGGGCAUGCCUGUUCGAGCGUCAUUUCAACCAUCAAGCCCUGUUUAGGCUUGUGUUGGGGCCCUGCGGUUGCCGCAGCCCCCUAAAUGCAGUGGCGGGCUCGUUGUCACUCCGAGCGCAGUAGCGUAUCUCGCUCUGGGCGUGGCGGCGGGUGCUAGCCGUGAAACACCCACUAAGGUUGACCUCGGAUCAGGUAGGAAUACCCGCUGAACUUAAGCAUAUCAAUAAGCGGAGGA
Molecule: unclassified non-coding RNA, 332 nt
Filed under: soil metagenome
Description: partial contains 5.8S ribosomal RNA, internal transcribed spacer 2, and large subunit ribosomal RNA
Rfam family: 5.8S ribosomal RNA (bases 1-120)
Source: RNAcentral